This 254-nucleotide ribosomal RNA is filed under the name uncultured bacterium. RNAcentral describes it as "partial 16S ribosomal RNA". It matches the Rfam family "Bacterial small subunit ribosomal RNA", at positions 524 to 777 of the family's 1533-position model. The record is from RNAcentral.
UACGAAGGGGGCUAGCGUUGCUCGGAAUCACUGGGCGUAAAGGGUGCGUAGGCGGGUCUUUAAGUCAGAGGUGAAAUCCUGGAGCUCAACUCCAGAACUGCCUUUGAUACUGAGGAUCUUGAGUUCGGGAGAGGUGAGUGGAACUGCGAGUGUAGAGGUGAAAUUCGUAGAUAUUCGCAAGAACACCAGUGGCGAAGGCGGCUCACUGGCCCGAUACUGACGCUGAGGUGCGAAAGCGUGGGGAGCAAACAGGG